CGUUCCCGGGUCUUGUACACACCGCCCGUCACACCAUGGGAGCGGGAGGUACCAGAAGUAGGUAGGCUAACCGCAAGGGGCCGCUUACCACGGUGCGUUUCGUGACUGGGGUG
This 113-nucleotide ribosomal RNA is filed under the name uncultured bacterium. RNAcentral's name for it is "partial 16S ribosomal RNA". It matches the Rfam family "Bacterial small subunit ribosomal RNA", at positions 1369 to 1482 of the family's 1533-position model. The record is from RNAcentral.